GACGAACGCUGGCGGCGUGCUUAACACAUGCAAGUCGAACGGAAAGGCCCUGCUUUUGUGGGGUGCUCGAGUGGCGAACGGGUGAGUAACACGUGAGUAACCUGCCCUUGACUUUGGGAUAACUUCAGGAAACUGGGGCUAAUACCGGAUAGGAGCUCCUGCUGCAUGGUGGGGGUUGGAAAGUUUCGGCGGUUGGGGAUGGACUCGCGGCUUAUCAGCUUGUUGGUGGGGUAGUGGCUUACCAAGGCUUUGACGGGUAGCCGGCCUGGGGGGGUGACCGGCGACAUUGGGACUGCGAGAGGGCCCAGCCUCCUACGGGAGGCAGCAGUGGGGAAUAUUGCGGAGUGGGCGGGAGCGUGAUGCGGCAACGCCGCGUGCGGGAUGACGGCCUUCGGGUUGUAAACAGCUUUCGCCUGUGACGAAGCGUGAGUGACGGUAACGGGUAAAGAAGCACCGGCUAACUACGUG
This 468-nucleotide ribosomal RNA is filed under the name uncultured bacterium. RNAcentral describes it as "partial 16S ribosomal RNA". It matches the Rfam family "Bacterial small subunit ribosomal RNA", at positions 28 to 507 of the family's 1533-position model. The record is from RNAcentral.